CUAAAUGUAAUCUAGAACCUGAAAUGAGCUCCUUAUACUAAAGUUUUGAAAAUAACUGACAUGAGUGGCAGAGAAGGACUUUACUGAACAAAAGUUGAUAACAGAGGUUAUUUAUGCUUCUGUGGAUGACAAUCUAGAGUACUAUUGCAGCGCUCAGAUAACCAGACUUCAUCGCUCAGGUAACCAGAUACUUUGAAACAGAACUUCAGCUCCCUAGAUACUGCCAGUGUAUGAAAUAAAUGGUCACAAGAUGAAGAUUUGAGUCAUAAUUUUGAAGCAUGAAGGUCUUGCCUUCUUGAGUCUGUUGGAUAUGGGGAGA
Molecule: long non-coding RNA, 319 nt
Organism: Pogoniulus pusillus (Red-fronted tinkerbird)
Lineage: Eukaryota; Metazoa; Chordata; Aves; Piciformes; Lybiidae
Exons: 3
Source: RefSeq, a predicted model, not a curated record